UUUGAGAUUUUUUGGAAUUUUGAAAAAGUUGUCUUCAGCUUCAUCGCAAGAAACACCAUAUUUCGUUAUUUUGAUCAAUUUUAAAGCAAAACUCUAAAGCUAAAGAAUAAAGAUCCUUUAAAAAAAAAGCUUUUGUCUGGAACGAUAAACUUUAUAGAUCCAACUGAGCAUUUCUGGAUGAAUCUGUCGUAAAGUUGAAACGUCGAAACAAAAAUAUUAAUUCCAAAGAAUUACAUUUGGAAAUAAUGGAGAAUUCUAAAUGGGAAGCAGUUGCUCGUGUUUAUGACCCUUUAAAAGCUGGUAGCAUAGAUGGUACAGAUACUAUUCCUCAUGAUCAUGGCAUUGUUCGAGCGAUGCAGGCAGAAUAUAAACCAAAUAAACUUGUCAUUGGUGAUCCUAAGGCUACAGUAUUUGUUGGAAGAUUGAAUCAUCACACAGAUGAAGAUACUAUAAAAAAGAUCUUUUCCAGAUGUGGAGACAUCAGGAGGCUUCGGUUAAUCCGAGAUGUGGUGACCGGGUUCUCCAAAGGGUAUGCUUUCGUGGAAUUUUAUGACAAGUACGAUGCUAUCAGGGCGGAACGGGAACUCAAUAAGAUUCAAAUUGAUGGCAAAGAAAUCCUUGUGGAUAUAGAAUGUGAAAGGCUUCUCCCGGGUUGGAUUCCUCGGAGAUUAGGUGGUGGACUAAGUGGAAAAAAAGAAUCCGGACAACUACGUUUUGGGGGCAAAGAAAAGCCUUUCAAAAAGCCCAUCCUACCUAACGUUCACCACAGCAGAAGAGAUGACCCAGAACCAUCAUCAUCAUCAUCACACAGGAGACGUCACCAUUCCCGAGACCGACAUUCCUACAGAAGAAGUCGGCAUUACGACUGAUUGAAAGGUUCCCCCGUGAUUUGUACCACGAGAUCUCACUGUGGGAAAUAAGGUUCACUUUCAAAUGUCUCUAAGCAAGGGAGUGUCAAGAAGAUUUCCUGCAAAAUAAAGCUCUUUCACGGGCUGAAUUGAUAAAAUGCACUCGAGGAAUGGACUCACGCCAACUUUUGUCCAAAGAAAUGGGUAGAUUAAAAAAAAACAUCAUAGUGACUCCUUCCAAAAAACCUUGAGGAACCAUUGGAUGCAGUUGGAUUUGCCACGAAUACGAUAAAAAAUGUGACGCAGUUUUGUGUCACAUAAUAUAGGCGCACGUCUGCUCACAGAGGCAUGGAAAAUGGCAAGUGGCCAAGUUAGGACAACUCCAAUUUAUUGAAUGUUGCAGGAGAGAAGAGAAAAUAGUGAUGGGCUUUUGUUACUUGCAUUUUAUAAUUUUACUAGGGCCUUAUUUGCUAAUUGUCUUCAUUGGAUUAUAAAUGAGUGGAAACAAAAAACGUUUCUAUGGAAACUACAAAAGACAGAAAAUAUUUCAUUAAGGGUUGUGAAAGGAAAAAGCUUUUAAUCUGCCUUGUCAUCUUUUCCCCUCUCUCUGGAUUAGUGUGAGUGCAGGUGUGUCUGCGUAGAAGAGAUGAAAACAUGCCACCAUAUGUGUGUUCAGGGAAUUCUUCAGAUUUCUCGAAAGUGGUGGAUGUUGGAAUCAUUGCAGUGUGUGUUAGUGCAUCGCCAAGGAACUCCGCAUCUUGUCAUGGAGGGGAGUGUAAGAUGGAUCAUCGCCAAUUCAAAGACCGAAAAUCAGAUUGACUGGUUUAGAUUGAGCCUACAAAAUUCAAUCCUGCAUGGAUGUGAUUGUGAUAUACAUGUGAUAAUAAAUGAUCAUGGCGGUAACAAUCUUUGGAGAGGGCGACCUUGAAGAGGGUUUGAAUGUAGAACGAGAUGAUGAACAUCGUCAACAAGAACGUGGACCGA
RNA transcript from Uloborus diversus, 1832 nucleotides. It is a transcript of the gene named U11/U12 small nuclear ribonucleoprotein 35 kDa protein-like, with no coding region annotated. The record is from RefSeq and is a predicted model, not a curated record. Lineage: Eukaryota; Metazoa; Arthropoda; Arachnida; Araneae; Uloboridae. The transcript is spliced from 5 exons.